Molecule: long non-coding RNA, 1539 nt
Organism: Formica exsecta
Lineage: Eukaryota; Metazoa; Arthropoda; Insecta; Hymenoptera; Formicidae
Exons: 2
Source: RefSeq, a predicted model, not a curated record
GAAAGAGAGAGAGAGAGUACAUUCUCAGGUUGGCCCGCACGAGACCGGAAAUUCGUCCAAUUAAUCGAUUAGAUAAAUUUAUUUCAAACAUCGAUAUUUCGAUUCUCUAGAAGAAGCUCGAAAUAUCGCGAUGCGCGCGAUAUCAGCGAGUAUAGUAUGUAUAAAACCAUGUUGAUCUUACAUCGAUCGACGAUAUACAUCUCUCAUACAUUCGUUAAUAAUCUAAUUAUUUAGCAAGCAGCAAUAGUAGGCCGAUAGUUAGACGUCGUUGGAUGUGUGCCAAACAGCUGACCGAAUGUCAGUAAGAGAAUUCGUCGAUCUUCAAGUUUAUCUAAUCAUUAUUUACGGUAUCAAAAUACCGGAUGCGAUUAUCUUUUGAAAUAAUCUAUCUUUUUUAAGUAAACCGAGAUGCUUCCCGCGUCUCUAAAAUUGAGUUUCCUUAAUUAUAAUUUUGUUAAUAACCAUAAAACAUUUUAUAUCAAUCAAUAAUUUGACACAAAAAAUACCAAGCGGUCGCAUAAAAAAAUAUUGUUUAGUGAAGAAAAUUAUCUUAGCGUCUCUGAAUAUUCGCUCACAAUUUUUAAAUCGAAUUUUCUAUCAGAUCGUAAAGACCCGUUAAAUUCCUGUAAUACAGCGCCGAGAUAAUUUACGAGGAUCGCGAGAAGAAUGGCUUUGACUACGGCAAAUAAGUUUUUAUAACGCGACUCGUACAAAUGAGAGAUAUCCGAAAUUCAAGGUUCGAGAAAGACGCCAGGUUUCUUGAUUUUAAUCCGAAUUUUGAACUUGCCCUCUUCUUCUUCGCAAUAUGUUCGAUUCCUAAAAUAUACAUCAAUCGCUGAUUUUUUUUUGCGCAUGCAACGUCGAACGAAAUCGAGACGUGCGAGUCCGUUGACUUGCUCCAUCACGGACAUGAAGACACCCGGUGACCGAUGGGGGAGCAGAGUUUACUGCCGCCGUCUGCUUUCUUGCCGCUCGUUUUAUUUAUUAUUCUCGACGGCUCCUCGUCGUCGUCGUCCUUGACUCGGCAUAUGACCUGCGCUAAUGUAAUUUCGAGAGACCCGGGUCCCUCUUCUAUUGUCGAUCGUUGAACCUUUUAUCGCUCGGCAACGCGACAACGUCGACAUUCGAAUAUUGCGAGUAAUUGUGUGCGCUCACAAUCAUGAAACAGUAUGAUGCGAGGCGCGUUAUUUUCGAGCGCACUCGGGAUAGUUAAUCUGACCCGGUAACCCAUCUGUCAGGAGUCGAAUCGUUUGUGUCUAUUUGCGGACGCACGAGUUUGAGCCGCGUCUCUCUGUUCUCUUUCCUCUUUUCUCUCUCCUCUCCUAUCCUCUCUUUUCCUCUGCGAGGAUAAGUACAAUACCGCCGUCAUGUUAAAACGACGUAAACGACGCAUUAAUAUCUAUUUUAAUCCGACAAUUUUAUAAAAUUUUUCCUGCUUUAAUUUAGCGAUUUUUUUUCUCUUCAGGAGAGACGCGAUAUUUAUUAAGAAUUAUUCUUUAAAGUUUCUUGUUUGAUCUUGCUACGUUCUUCGACGGACGA